GGUCACUGCUAUUGGGAUUCGACUAAGCCAUGCGAGUCGUGAGGGUUCGGCCCUCGGCAGACGGCUCAGUAACACGUAGAUAAUUUGCCCUUAGGUGGAGGAUACCCUCGGGAAACUGAGAAUAAUACUCCAUAGAUCUAAACUGCUGGAAUGCUUUUAGAUUGAAAGAUUUAUCGCCUAAGGAUAAGUCUGCGGACUAUCAGGUUGUAGUUAGGGUAAAUACCUGACUAGCCUACGACGGAUACGGGUAGUGAGAGCUUUAGCCCGGAGAUGAUAUCUGAGACACGAUAUCAGGCCCUACGGGGCGCAGCAGGCGCGAAAACUUCGCAAUGUGCGAAAGCACGACGAGGGAAUCCCAAGUGCUGGCUCGUAAGAGUCAGCUGUUUCUCUGUCUAAAAAACAGGGAGAGUAAGAGCUGGGUAAGACGGGUGCCAGCCGCCGCGGUAAUACCUGCAGCUCAAGUGGUGGCCGCUAUUAUUGGGCCUAAAACGUCCGUAGCCGGUUUCAUAAAUGCCUGGGUAAAUCGUACGGCUUAACCGUAUGAAUUCCGGGUAGACUGUUUAACUUGAGACCGGGAGAGGCUAGAGGUACUCCUGGGGUAGAGGUGAAAUUCUGUAAUCCUAGGGGGACCACCAGUGGCGAAGGCGUCUAGCUAGAACGGGUCUGACGGUGAGGGACGAAGCCCUGGGGAGCAAACGGGAUUAGAUACCCCGGUAGUCCAGGGUGUAAACGCUGCUCGCUUGAUGUUAGUCGGGCUCCGAGCCCAACU
RNAcentral lists this ribosomal RNA (769 nucleotides) under uncultured archaeon. RNAcentral describes it as "bacterial SSU rRNA". It matches the Rfam family "Archaeal small subunit ribosomal RNA", at positions 21 to 796 of the family's 1478-position model. The record is from RNAcentral.